RNAcentral lists this ribosomal RNA (253 nucleotides) under uncultured bacterium. RNAcentral's name for it is "partial 16S ribosomal RNA". It matches the Rfam family "Bacterial small subunit ribosomal RNA", at positions 524 to 776 of the family's 1533-position model. The record is from RNAcentral.
UACGUAGGGUCCGAGCGUUGUCCGGAAUUACUGGGCGUAAAGAGCUCGUAGGUGGUUUGUCGCGUUGUUCGUGAAAACUCACAGCUCAACUGUGGGCGUGCGGGCGAUACGGGCAGACUGGAGUACUGCAGGGGAGACUGGAAUUCCUGGUGUAGCGGUGGAAUGCGCAGAUAUCAGGAGGAACACCGGUGGCGAAGGCGGGUCUCUGGGCAGUAACUGACGCUGAGGCACGAAAGCGUGGGGAGCAAACAGG